AUGGCCGAGCAGGCACGGUUCUUCAACAUGGACCCAGCGACGGCGGCCGACGCACGGCGCAAGGGCUGCGACCCGCACACGCUGGACCAAGCCGCGGAGAGCAUGCUGUGCUACAUCUACGCCAACCUCCCCAGCCUCCCCGUCUACGAGGGCACGCGGCUCGCCGCUCUCGCCUCCUCCGCCUCCCCCGAUGGCGUCGACCGCAUCAGCCGCCUCCCGCCCGAGCUCCUCAGCAACAUCGUCUCCCGCCUCCCGUCCGUCAAGGACGCCGCGCGCACCGCCGUCCUCUCCUCCCACUGGCGCCGGGUCUGGCUCUCCACGCCCCUCGUGCUGGCCGACGCCCACCUCCACCCCGAAGCCUGCGGCUGGCCGCCCACGCCCGCCACCUCGCCGGCCGUCACCGCCGCCGUCUCCCGCAUCCUCGACGCGCACCCGGGGCCCUUCCGCUGCGUCCACCUCGUCUGCAGCCACAUGAGCGCGCACCGUGCCCGGCUCGCGCGCUGGCUCCAGCUCCUCGCCGCCAAGGGCGUCCAGGACCUCGCCCUCGUCAACCGCCCCUGGCCGCGCGACGUGCCCCUCCCGGCCACGCUCUUCGCCGUCACCACCCUCACCCGCCUCUACGUCGGCAUGUGGACGUUGCCCGGCACGGCCGCCCUGCGUGGCGCCUCCUUUCCCCACCUCCGCGAGCUCGGCCUGGGCUGCGUCGAAAUGGAGCAGGGCGUGGUCGACUCCCUCGUCGCCAGGAGCCCCGUCCUCGAGGUCCUCAACAUCCUGGGAUGCAAGGCGGUGCGUCUCCGCCUCGUCAGCCAGAGCCUGCGGUGCGUGCAGAUCAGCUGGUCGAGAAUGGAGGACGUCGCCGUGGUAAAGGCUCCCCUCCUCGAGCGGCUCGUCCUGUUUAGACCUUGCAAAAUCGCUGGUGGCAUGUCCACGAGACUCAGGAUUGGCGAUGCCCCCAAGCUGCACGCAUUUGGGUACUUGGAGCCAGGCCCAGGACAGGUCCUCAAGGUCCGAGACACCAUCAUCAUGCCAGGAAUAGCAAGCGCAAGUACCGUCGUGACAAGCGUGAAGAUUCUGAGCUUGAAUGUGUGUUUCGGAGUUCGCAGUGAUGUCCAGAUGGUGCCCACCUUCCUCAGAUGCUUUCCCAACGCCAAGAGACUGCAUAUCAUGAGUAAAAGAUGCACUGAACCCACUGGCAACUACCUCACACUCCAGUUCUAG
This 1218-nucleotide ribosomal RNA is filed under the name Triticum aestivum (bread wheat). RNAcentral's name for it is "partial small subunit ribosomal RNA". The record is from RNAcentral. Lineage: Eukaryota; Viridiplantae; Streptophyta; Magnoliopsida; Poales; Poaceae.